CCUACGGGGGGCAGCAGUGAGGAAUAUUUGUCAAUGGCCGGAAGCCUGAACCAGCCAAGCCGCGUGAGGGAGGAAGGCGCAGAGCGUCGCAGACCUCUUUUGUCAGGGAAGAGUAGAAGACGGUACCUGACUAAUAAGCCACGGCUAACUACGUGACAGCAGCCGCGGUACUACGUAGGUGGCAAGCGUUGUCCGGAUUUACUGGGUGUAAAGGGCGUGUAGCCGGGUUGACAAGACAGAUGUGAAAUCCUGCGGCUAAACCGCAGAACUGCAUUUGAAACUGUUGAUCUUGAGUACUGGAGAGGCAGACGGAAUUCCUAGUGUAGCGGUGAAAUGCGUAGAUAUUAGGAGGAACACCAGUGGCGAAGGCGGUCUGCUGGACAGCAACUGACGGUGAGGCGCGAAAGCGUGGGGAGCAAACAGGAUUAGAUACCCCAGUAGUC
RNAcentral lists this ribosomal RNA (443 nucleotides) under uncultured bacterium. RNAcentral describes it as "partial 16S ribosomal RNA". It matches the Rfam family "Bacterial small subunit ribosomal RNA", at positions 338 to 795 of the family's 1533-position model. The record is from RNAcentral.